This 497-nucleotide ribosomal RNA is filed under the name uncultured bacterium. RNAcentral's name for it is "partial 16S ribosomal RNA". It matches the Rfam family "Bacterial small subunit ribosomal RNA", at positions 28 to 507 of the family's 1533-position model. The record is from RNAcentral.
GAUGAACGCUGGCGGCGUGCCUAAUACAUGCAAGUCGAGCGAACGGACGAGAAGCUUGCUUCUCUGAUGUUAGCGGCGGACGGGUGAGUAACACGUGGAUAACCUACCUAUAAGACUGGGAUAACUUCGGGAAACCGGAGCUAAUACCGGAUAAUAUUUUGAACCGCAUGGUUCAAAAGUGAAAGACGGUCUUGCUGUCACUUAUAGAUGGAUCCGCGCUGCAUUAGCUAGUUGGUAAGGUAACGGCUUACCAAGGCAACGAUGCAUAGCCGACCUGAGAGGGUGAUCGGCCACACUGGAACUUGGACACGGUCCAGACUCCUACGGGAGGCAGCAGUAGCGAAUCUUCCGCAAUGGGCGAAAGCCUGACGGAGCGACGCCGCGUGAGUGAUGAAGGUCUUCGGAUCGUAAAACUCUGUUACUAGGGAAGAACAUAUGUGUAAGUUACUGUGCACAUCUUGACGGUACCUAAUCAGAAAGCCCCGGCUAACUACGUG